Ananas comosus (pineapple) is the source of this 247-nucleotide long non-coding RNA. RefSeq lists it as uncharacterized. The transcript is spliced from 2 exons. NCBI's taxonomy places the organism in Eukaryota, Viridiplantae, Streptophyta, Magnoliopsida, Poales, Bromeliaceae. The record is from RefSeq and is a predicted model, not a curated record.
AUCUCUUUCAUGAUAUGAUCCGGUGAGACAGAACUGUGAAAGAGGUUCCAGUAUAUAGUUGUGGGGCCGAUCAGAAUUCGUUUAUGCACUUUUUGAUUUUUGUUAUCAAACAAUUUUUAAUUUUUUGUAUUUCUUUCAGUUAGACAGUUUGAUUUGUUAUAAUUACUACAGCAUAUGAGUAGAUAUUAUUGUUGCGAUGUAUGGAUAUUUGAUUUUAGUUUUAUCAUUUUAACGAGAAUUUAAGAAA